Long non-coding RNA from Oncorhynchus keta (chum salmon), 2544 nucleotides. RefSeq lists it as uncharacterized. The transcript is spliced from 3 exons. NCBI's taxonomy places the organism in Eukaryota, Metazoa, Chordata, Actinopteri, Salmoniformes, Salmonidae. The record is from RefSeq and is a predicted model, not a curated record.
AAUGCCACAAAUGUAUCAAGUUGAGGCAGUGUGCAAUUGGCAUGCUGACUGCAGGAAUGUCCACCAGAGCUGUUGCCAAAUAAUUGAAUGUUCAUUUCCACAAGUUACCUCCAACGUUGUUUUAGAGAAUUUGGCAGUACGUCCAACCAGCCUCACACCCGCAGACCAUGUGUAACUACGACAGCCCAGGACCUCCACAUCUGGCUUCUUCACCUCUGGGAUCAUCUGAAACCAGCCACCCAGACAGCUGUGGGUUUGCACAACCGAAAAACCGUUUCUGGGAAGCUUAUCUCUGUUCAUCGUUCUCACCAGGGUCUUGACCUGACUGCAGUUCGGUAUCGUAACUGACUUCAGUGGGCAAAUGCUCACCUUCGAUGAAAACUGGCACACUGGAGAAGUUUGCUCUUCAAGAUUAAAUCCUGGUUUCAACUGUACCGGGCAGAUGGCAGACAGCAUGAAUGGCGUCAUGUUGGUUGUCCACAUACAGGACGAACUGGUCCCAGGAGAGAGUGUAUGCCUGGUCCAAGGCCUCCUUACUAGGCAGCCCACCGAGUCUCAGAAUGUGGUUCUCCUCAGAGAGAAAGUGACUCUGAUGGACAAUGUCAUCAAAGUCCUUGAGCGUUCAGGAAGCCAAGAUGGUUCAGCUCAAAAAGAGGCAGAAGGACGAGGAGCUGCAGCAGAAUAGCCAUUGGAAGCCCAUGGCAAAUAACCGUGAAACUUGGCAUCAAACUAAAUGAGAAUAUGUAUAGAAGGAAGCAACGAGCCAAUGGCAUGAACUGGUAGUGGUUGUGCUUUUUACAUUUUUAUUCCCUCUGAAUCCCCUAGGUUCUUCUUUAAAAAUGUACUUCCCCCUGCACCUCCCCACAUCCCACCAUUUACUCCUCUUUAUUAUUUACUUUUCUCCCCCUCUGCCUUCUUAUUUCCUUUUCUCCUUGCGACAUCAUCCAACAUGUCUGGGAAGUUCAGUCCAAAUCACUGAAACAUAAACACAGCCGUUAGCUUUGGUUCUAAGACACUUAUCAGUUCAUGUAUCAGAAUUCAACACUUAUUAUUAUAACUUCUGAGACAGCUGUGGCUGAUCUGGCAUAGGAAUAAUACCAAGGGAGGUGGAAACAGAUCAUUUUCAGAUGCAAAGCUAUACUGUUCUGUCAUAUCUAUUCUAGUUCCGAAGUCAUGUUUAAUAAGGUUAUGAGCCUGGCAUAUCUAAAUAACCUGAGAGAUAUACAACAAAUCUGGAACAGCAGGUGCAUGUUGACAUGACUCCAUAGCAACCUCUACUCAGAUUUUAUUGGUAGCUAAAGGGAAAGUUAAAGGGGGCAUCUAGUCAGUUGUACAACUGAAUACAUUCAACUGAAAUGUGUCUUUUGCAUUUAACCCAACCUCUGAAUUAGAGAGGUGUGGAGGGGCUGCCUUAAUCGAGAUCCACGUCUUCGAAGCCCGGGGAAGAGUACCUUGCUCAGGGGCAGAAUGACAGAUUUUUACCUUGUCAACCUGGUUCUAUUCAGAUUCUAAGGCUUGGUUCAACACUCACCAUCAGUCAGACUCAUUCCAUAUCUGCCAGUCUGAAUCCUCCUCUGAUGUCUGUUUGUCUCUUCCUCCUCUUCGCAUCAUCUCUAUCAUUCUCUUCUCUGUCAGUUUCAUUUUCACUUCCUUCUCCUUUUCUUUCCUCUCUUUUCCUGCUCCUUUUUAAUUUCCUUAGUUUAAGCGCUCUAUUUUUUCCUCUUGCUUUUGUACCUUUUUCUCAGCUUCAGCCAACCUUUUCUCAGCUUCAGCCAACCUUUUCUCAGCUUCAGCCAACCUUUUCUCAGUUUCAGCCAACCUUUUCUCAGCUUUUUCGUUAUCCUUCUUCUCUUUCUCCAGGCGCUUCUUCUCAUCUUGUUCUGCUUCAGUCAAACUUAUCUUCUCCUUUUCUUUUAAUUUCUCCUUCUCCGGGUUCUUUAUUCUCUCCUUUUCUGCUUCAAACACAAGUUUCUCAUCCAGUUGUUCCUUAAUCUCAUUCUCAAGGAUCUUCAAUAUCUCCUUUUCUCUUUUUUUCUCUUCUUCCAAUUUACAUUUCUCCUCUUCUGUUUAUUUCCUCUCAUUCUCCAGGUUCUUAAUCGUCUUUCUUUUUUCUUCCUCCAACCUGAGUCUUUCCUCCUUUUCUUUUCCUUCUCCAUGAAUAUCAUCCUCUCUUCCUUUCUAUCUUUGUCAAAUGUCUCCGCCAAUCUUAAAUCCCUCAGCCUGUUUUAUCUUAAUUUCAUCUAGACAUUUAUGACUUUCCUUCAUCUGUUCUAUCAAUUUGUUAUCUUCCAGUUUUUCUCUUCCUUGAUAUCUACUUUCUGUCAAUUGCUCCUCACUGUUAUAUCCCUUCUCACCUGCGCUCUGCAUCUUUGUACAUUUUUUCUCCACCUCUUUUUCCACAGUUUCAUGUAUUCUGACCCUGUGGUUCUCCCUCUCCUCAUCUAUUGUCUUCAUCAUAAACAUCUCCUGCUCCAUUUUCUGGAUUAUACAGUGCUUUUGGAAAAUAUUCAGACCCCUUUACUUUUUCAGCAUUUUUUUUUUACA